Non-coding RNA from Oryzias latipes (Japanese medaka), 807 nucleotides. NCBI's taxonomy places the organism in Eukaryota, Metazoa, Chordata, Actinopteri, Beloniformes, Adrianichthyidae. The record is from RefSeq and is a predicted model, not a curated record.
UCUUAGUCUUCUGUGUUCCUAUUGGAUGAAGAGAUUGCCAUGUCCAAUCAGAGGCGCUGACGUGUCUGGUGAAAAUGUCCCGAGGCUCCAGAGAAGAGGAGGACUAGUCCGAGGAAGAGAGAGGCUGAGCGACCAGUUUGACUCAAAGUAGAAUAAGUGGAAGCAGACUCUACUUUCUGUUUGUGACAACGUCAUACUUUGGACCAGAGAAGUCCAUCCUUUCUGGACCCUGUCGGCGGACCUCGAAGCUCCACGAAUGACAGGAGGGCGCGUGCUCAUCCGGCGCCGCCUCGCCUCGUGUGAAGCCCGCCUUAGCAUCUGCCGUCCACUGAAGGUCGCGUGAGUGAUGGCGGGAUUGGAUAAAACGCACAUCUCACAGCGGCCGCCGACUUUCUCAUCUGCCACACAACAUCAGACUCGCCUCUCGUCAGCACGCCGCCGCCUUUGCUGCAUAUUGAGCUGCACAUUUCCAUGGAAGGUGUGAAGGCAGACGGAUAUGAACGUCGGUGAAGCCGAACCCACUCUGGAUCACUGCAGUCCCCUCAAAACUCUUCCAGCAGGAUUCCCAGGAAAAACAUUCUCAAAAUGUCGUCUCCAACCUUUGUAGGCCGUUUAAUGUCAGACAAUAUUUCAUUAAAACUUUUAUUUUCUAAAUCUAAACAUGAGUCCACCGUCAGAACAGCUGUUUUAGCAGCAGCACGGUCACAUUAAGACAGCUGGUUGCUGAAUAUCCUGCUAUGAAAGGAGGGUCUAAGGCAGAGAUGCCCAGUUUAGUCUGUUUAUUAAAGUUUAGUGUUCUCUAUGCAU